RNAcentral lists this ribosomal RNA (235 nucleotides) under uncultured bacterium. RNAcentral describes it as "partial 16S ribosomal RNA". It matches the Rfam family "Bacterial small subunit ribosomal RNA", at positions 118 to 351 of the family's 1533-position model. The record is from RNAcentral.
UGAGUAACCUGCCCUUAACUCUGGGAUAAGCCUGGGGAAACUGGGUCUAAUACCGGAUAUGACUCCUCAUCGCAUGGUGGGGGGUGGAAAGCUUUAUUGUGGUUUUGGAUGGACUCGCGGCCUAUCAGUUUGUUGGUGAGGUAAUGGCUCACCAAGGCGACGACGGGUAGCCGGCCUGAGAGGGUGACCGGCCACACUGGGACUGAGACACGGCCCAGACUCCAACGGGAGGCAG